This 424-nucleotide ribosomal RNA is filed under the name uncultured bacterium. Its description in RNAcentral is "bacterial SSU rRNA". It matches the Rfam family "Bacterial small subunit ribosomal RNA", at positions 202 to 622 of the family's 1533-position model. The record is from RNAcentral.
UAAGACCUCGCGUUAUUGGAGCGGCCGAUAUCUGAUUAGCUAGUUGGUGGGGUAAAAGCCUACCAAGGCGACGAUCAGUAGCUGGUCUGAGAGGACGACCAGCCACACUGGGACUGAGACACGGCCCAGACUCCUACGGGAGGUAGCAGUGGGGAAUUUUGGACAAUGGGCGAAAGCCUGAUCCAGCCAUGCCGCGUGAGUGAAGAAGGCCUUCGGGUUGUAAAGCUCUUUCGCAAGGAAAGAAAUCCUAUCCACUAAUACUGGGUGGGGAUGACGGUACCUUGAUAAGAAGCACCGGCUAACUACGUGCCAGCAGCCGCGGUAAUACGUAGGGUGCGAGCGUUAAUCGGAAUUACUGGGCGUAAAGCGAGCGCAGGCGGUUUUGUAAGUCAGAUGUGAAAUCCCCGGGCUCAACCUGGGAACU